CCAAUGGUUACUAGUUUCAUCUUUCCACAAAAUCACAUUGACUAGUCUUAGACUUCACUAACUUGUUUACUUUGGAUAUAUAUUUUGAUUUUAUAUUUUAUGGUUAUGGAUGCAAAUAUGAUGCCUUCUCCUGGUAAAUAAUCCUGAACACUAGCAGUGUAGAUGAUAUUGAAGAAAUUAAUAAAACCGAUAAUGGAGAUAAAGCUUCUACAAGCACAGUGCACACCUGCCUAACUGCCAUUUUGUGCCUCAAUCUACUAUAGUACAGAAAACACUGGAAGAGCAAAAGUGGAACAUGAAUUUAUGACAAGUGACUGUGGAAAAUGCAAACUAGACAUGCUAGACAAGUACAAAAUACUGUCAGCUGGUCAGGAUGAGCUCCAAAUAAUUAGCUGCUUGUACAAAUCAAGUAAAAUGAAUUCCUGAAGCAAAUAAACAAAGAGAUCUUUUC
Long non-coding RNA from Pantherophis guttatus, 451 nucleotides. RefSeq lists it as uncharacterized. The record is from RefSeq and is a predicted model, not a curated record. NCBI's taxonomy places the organism in Eukaryota, Metazoa, Chordata, Lepidosauria, Squamata, Colubridae.